RNAcentral lists this ribosomal RNA (372 nucleotides) under uncultured organism. RNAcentral's name for it is "partial 16S ribosomal RNA". It matches the Rfam family "Bacterial small subunit ribosomal RNA", at positions 527 to 896 of the family's 1533-position model. The record is from RNAcentral.
GUAGGUGGCAAGCGUUGUCCGGAAUUAUUGGGCGUAAAGCGCGCGCAGGCGGUUCUUUAAGUCUGAUGUGAAAGCCCACGGGCUCAACCGUGGAGGGUCAUUGGAAACUGGAGAACUUGAGUACAGAAGAGGAAAGCGGAAUUCCACGUGUAGCGGUGAAAUGCGUAGAGAUGUGGAGGAACACCAGUGGCGAAGGCGGCUUUCUGGUCUGCAACUGACGCUGAGGCGCGAAAGCGUGGGGAGCAAACAGGAUUAGAUACCCUGGUAGUCCACGCCGUAAACGAUGAGUGCUAAGUGUUAGGGGGUUUCCGCCCCUUAGUGCUGCAGCUAACGCAUUAAGCACUCCGCCUGGGGAGUACGACCGCAAGGUUG